GAACGGGUGAGUAACAGGUGGAUAAUCUGCCUUUUGGUGUGGGAUACCGGCUGGAAACGGUCGCUAAUACCGCAUGUGGUCAUUGGUUCUUAGGCACCGAUGAAGAAAGGCGCUGCAAGGCGCCGCCAAGAGAUGAGUCCGCCCCCCAUUAGCUAGUUGGUGUGAUAACAGCGCACCAAGGCAGUGAUGGGUAGCCGAGCUGAGAGGUUGAUCGGCCACACUGGGACUGAGACACGGCCCAGACACCUACGGGUGGCAGCAGUAGGGAAUAUUGGACAAUGGGCGCAAGCCUGAUCCAGCCAUGCCGCGUGAGUGAUGAAGGCCUUCGGGUCGUAAAGCUCUUUUCUGAGGGAAGAACUGUUCGGGCAGGAAAUGGCCUGAAUUUGACGGUACCUCAGGAAUAAGGAACGGCUAACUCCGUGCCAGCAGCCGCGGUAAUACGGAGGUUCCUAGCGUUGUUCGGAAUUACUGGGCGUAAAGGGAGCGCAGGCGGAUUGAUAAGUCUAAAGUGGAAUCCCGGGGCUCAACCUCGGACGUGCUUUGGAUACUGUCAGUCUUGAGUUCGUGAGAGGAAGGCGGAAUUCAGGUGUAGCGGUGAAAUGCUUAGAUAUCCUGAGAACACAGUGGCGAAAGCGGCCUUCUGGCACGAAACUGACGCUGAGCUCGAAAGCGUGGGUAGC
Molecule: ribosomal RNA, 680 nt
Filed under: uncultured bacterium
Lineage: Bacteria
Description: bacterial SSU rRNA
Rfam family: Bacterial small subunit ribosomal RNA
Source: RNAcentral